This 490-nucleotide ribosomal RNA is filed under the name uncultured bacterium. RNAcentral describes it as "partial 16S ribosomal RNA". It matches the Rfam family "Bacterial small subunit ribosomal RNA", at positions 30 to 507 of the family's 1533-position model. The record is from RNAcentral.
UGAACGCUGGCGGUAGGCCUAACACAUGCAAGUCGAACGGCAGCACAGUAAGAGCUUGCUCUUACGGGUGGCGAGUGGCGGACGGGUGAGGAAUACAUCGGAAUCUACUUUUUCGUGGGGGAUAACGUAGGGAAACUUACGCUAAUACUGCAUACGACCUACGGGUGAAAGCAGGGGAUCUUCGGACCUUGCGCGAUUGAAUGAGCCGAUGUCGGAUUAGCUAGUUGGCGGGGUAAAGGCCCACCAAGGCGACGAUCCGUAGCUGGUCUGAGAGGAUGAUCAGCCACACUGGAACUGAGACACGGUCCAGACUCCUACGGGAGGCAGCAGUGGGGAAUAUUGGACAAUGGGCGCAAGCCUGAUCCAGCCAUACCGCGUGGGUGAAGAAGGCCUUCGGGUUGUAAAGCCCUUUUGUUGGGAAAGAAAAGCAGCAGGUUAAUACCCCGCUGUUCUGACGGUACCCAAAGAAUAAGCACCGGCUAACUUCGUG